GGUGGAGUCCCAUCUUUAAAAACUAAACAGGCAUUUUGGACAACACAUUCUUGGCAAGGUAAUCUGGAUGACAUUUAUCAGACACUGUAGGGAAAGCUCUUUCAGCAUUUGUAAAAAGAACAGCCAAAUAAUGGUUACAGAAGUAAGACUGCAGACUUUAACAAACUGUUUAAAUUGUUCUCUUACAGAGUCUGUCUCCACUGCCAGAGAGCUUGAAUGACCUUUUGGUCCUCCGUCCUGAAGCAAUUCUUAACAUAGUUGGCAAAUUUGGGCUCCAGCUUAGGAAGGGAACAACCCUUGUCUACGGAGGCCUGCAUUUUUGCUUUGAUCUCCUCUAACGACAGAGGAACUUUCGGUGUUUUUGGAGUUAGAGAUUUGUCCUUCUUGGAAUCUGGAGUUUUUGUUUUAGAUGCUGGUGUGGACGGCUUUGAGUCUUUUCCAUUUUGCUUUGCUUUCUGCAUAUUUUUUCCUGCAGGCUCGCGGGCAGGUUUCUUCAUUGGUGUUUUAAUCUCCUCCUCAUCAUCAUCCAAGUCGUCUUCAUCAUCCUCAUCAUCAUCCUCAUCUUCAUCAUCGUCCUCAUCAUCUUCUGAUAAUUUUGGUUUUUUCUGUGGUGUUUUAGCUCCUCCUCCACUUGCUGGUCUCUUUGUUGAAGCAUUCCCUAUUUUUGUAUCCUCCUCCUCAUCCUCUGAUUCUGGCUCUUCCUCUACAAGAUGCUGACCACUGACAUAAACAGGCCCCGAACCACAUUUUAACCUCAGGACAACUGGUGGUGUGAUCUCAAAUCCACCUAGUGAAACUGUAGGCUGCACAGACAUUUUCAGAGAUGCCAGUACUACUUUAGUUGGGUUGCCUUCGUAGUCCAGUGCUUCUGCUUCUACAACAUGUAAUUCGUCUUUGGCUCCAGCCCCUAAUGUAACCGUUCUCAAGGACAGCUGAUGCUCGUUUUCCUCAUCAUCUACUUUGAACUGAUAUUCCUUCUCUGCUUUAAGCUCGCAGCCGAAGAGGAAGGUCUGCGGGCGCAGCGGGCCCAUGCUCUCCAUGUCCAUGGCGCUGUCCUCCAUCUUCUCGGCCUGCUCGCGCGGGAGGAGCUGUACGGGAUGCGGCGCUGCGGACGGACGCGCACUAAAG
This 1128-nucleotide long non-coding RNA is filed under the name Gallus gallus (chicken). Lineage: Eukaryota; Metazoa; Chordata; Aves; Galliformes; Phasianidae. The record is from RNAcentral.